RNAcentral lists this ribosomal RNA (253 nucleotides) under uncultured bacterium. RNAcentral describes it as "partial 16S ribosomal RNA". It matches the Rfam family "Bacterial small subunit ribosomal RNA", at positions 524 to 776 of the family's 1533-position model. The record is from RNAcentral.
UACGUAGGGGGCUAGCGUUGUCCGGAAUCAUUGGGCGUAAAGAGCGUGUAGGCGGUCCGGUAAGUCCGUUGUGAAAGUCAGGGGCUCAACCCUUGAAUGCCGGCGGAUACUGUCGGGCUAGAGUCCGGAAGAGGCGAGUGGAAUUCCCGGUGUAGCGGUGAAAUGCGCAGAUAUCGGGAGGAACACCAGUAGCGAAGGCGGCUCGCUGGGCCAUUCCUGACGCUGAGACGCGAAAGCUAGGGGAGCGAACAGG